This 168-nucleotide ribosomal RNA is filed under the name Periophthalmus barbarus (Atlantic mudskipper). RNAcentral describes it as "partial 12S rRNA". Lineage: Eukaryota; Metazoa; Chordata; Actinopteri; Gobiiformes; Gobiidae. The record is from RNAcentral.
CACCGCGGUUAUACGAGGGGCCCAAGUUGACAAACACCGGCGUAAAAAGUGGUUAGUAUUUUUUUCUACUAAAGCCAAACACCUUCAAAGCUGUUAUAUGCUCUCGAAGAUAGGAAGUCCUCCCACGAAAGUGGCUUUAAACAUUACAAACCCACGAAAGCUAGGAAA